CCUACGGGAGGCAGCAGUGGGGAAUAUUGGACAAUGGGCGAAAGCCUGAUCCAGCAAUGCCGCGUGAGUGAUGAAGGCCUUAGGGUUGUAAAGCUCUUUUACCCGGGAUGAUAAUGACAGUACCGGGAGAAUAAGCUCCGGCUAACUCCGUGCCAGCAGCCGCGGUAAUACGGAGGGAGCUAGCGUUAUUCGGAAUUACUGGGCGUAAAGCGCACGUAGGCGGCUUUGUAAGUAAGAGGUGAAAGCCUGGUGCUCAACACCAGAACUGCCUUUUAAGACUGCAUCGCUUGAAUCCAGGAGAGGUGAGUGGAAUUCCGAGUGUAGAGGUGAAAUUCGUAGAUAUUCGGAAGAACACCAG
RNAcentral lists this ribosomal RNA (358 nucleotides) under uncultured bacterium. RNAcentral describes it as "bacterial SSU rRNA". It matches the Rfam family "Bacterial small subunit ribosomal RNA", at positions 338 to 712 of the family's 1533-position model. The record is from RNAcentral.